Long non-coding RNA from Mastomys coucha (southern multimammate mouse), 274 nucleotides. RefSeq lists it as uncharacterized. NCBI's taxonomy places the organism in Eukaryota, Metazoa, Chordata, Mammalia, Rodentia, Muridae. The record is from RefSeq and is a predicted model, not a curated record. The transcript is spliced from 3 exons.
UUAGGCCCAGCUGUCAUCUUAGGACAUUCUUAGCAAUACUGCCGAGUUUGGAGCUCACUAUGUGACACAACAGUUUAGUUCUCUUUUUUGCUGUUGACUUCAGGUCAGGGAAGAGAAGGAUGAAGAAUGUCCUGAAACACACAAAUUAACAGAUGCCUUGGGUUUGUUUCCUGGAAUCUGGUCUCCAGUGCUGUGAUGAUACAGUGCAGCACAGCAGGCAGAAUAUAGACAGAGACCUGCGGACUGCCAUACCACCCAGAGACCUGUCCUCCAG